RNAcentral lists this transfer RNA (65 nucleotides) under Parapenaeopsis tenella. RNAcentral describes it as "tRNA-Arg". The record is from RNAcentral. Lineage: Eukaryota; Metazoa; Arthropoda; Malacostraca; Decapoda; Penaeidae.
AAGUAAAAAGCGAAAGAUCGCACCCAGUUUCGGCCUGGACUUUGGUAUUAAAUUACCUUUACUUA